RNAcentral lists this ribosomal RNA (253 nucleotides) under uncultured bacterium. RNAcentral's name for it is "partial 16S ribosomal RNA". It matches the Rfam family "Bacterial small subunit ribosomal RNA", at positions 524 to 776 of the family's 1533-position model. The record is from RNAcentral.
UACGUAGGGCGCAAGCGUUGUCCGGAAUUAUUGGGCGUAAAGAGCUCGUAGGCGGUUUGUCGCGUCUGUCGUGAAAGCUUGGGGCUUAACCCCAAGUCUGCGGUGGAUACGGGCAGACUAGAGGCAGGUAGGGGAGAACGGAAUUCCCGGUGUAGCGGUGAAAUGCGCAGAUAUCGGGAGGAACACCGGUGGCGAAGGCGGCGACCUGGGCCAAUAUUGACGCUGAGGUGCGAAAGCGUGGGGAGCAAACAGG